UCCGGUUGAUCCUGCCGGACCCCACUGCUAUCGGGAUGGGACUAAGACAUGCUAGUCGUGCGCUUCCAAGCCAUGGUGGAAGCGCGGCGCACAGCUCAGUAACACGUGGCUAACCUACCCUUGGGACGGGGACAACCCCGGGAAACUGGGGCUAAUCCCCGAUAGGUGAGGGCUCCUGGAAUGGAGCCUUGCCCAAAAAGCGUCUAGACCAUGCUUCUAGGCGCCGCCCAAGGAUGGGGCCGCGGCCGAUCAGGUUGUUGGUGAGGUAACGGCUCACCAAGCCUAUAACCGGUACGGGCCGUGAAAGCGGUAGCCCGGAGAUGGACACUGAGAUAAGGGUCCAGGCCCUAUGGGGCGCAGCAGGCGCGAAACCUCUGCAAUAGGCGAAAGCUUGACAGGGUUACUCUGAGUGAUGUCCGCUAAGGGCAUCUUUUGGCACUUCUAAAAAUAGUGUAGAAUAAGGGGUGGGCAAGUCUGGCGUCAGCCGCCGCGGUAAUACCAGCACCCCGAGUGGUCGGGACGAUUAUUGGGCCUAAAGCAUCCGUAGCCGGUUCUGCAAGUCUUCCGUUAAAUCCACCUGCUCAACAGAUGGGCUGCGGAGGAUACUACAGGGCUAGGAGGCGGGAGAGGCAAGCGGUACUCAGUGGGUAGGGGUAAAAUCCUCUGAUCCACUGAAGACCACCAGUGGCGAAGGCGGCUUGCCAGAACGCGCUCGACGGUGAGGGAUGAAAGCUGGGGGAGCAAACCGGAUUAGAUACCCGGGUAGUCCCAGCUGUAAACGAUGCAGACUCGGUGAUGGGUUGGCUUCGAGCCAACCCAGUGCCGCAGGGAAGCCGUUAAGUCUGCCGCCUGGGGAGUACGGUCGCAAGACUGAAACUUAAAGGAAUUGGCGGGGGAGCACCACAAGGGGUGAAGCCUGCGGUUCAAUUGGAGUCAACGCCGGAAAUCUUACCGGGAGCGACAGCAGAGUGAAGGUCAAGCUGAAGACUUUACCAGACAAGCUGAGAGGAGGUGCAUGGCC
RNAcentral lists this ribosomal RNA (1021 nucleotides) under uncultured archaeon. RNAcentral's name for it is "bacterial SSU rRNA". It matches the Rfam family "Archaeal small subunit ribosomal RNA", at positions 1 to 999 of the family's 1478-position model. The record is from RNAcentral.